RNAcentral lists this unclassified non-coding RNA (219 nucleotides) under Hevea brasiliensis (rubber tree). The record is from RNAcentral. Lineage: Eukaryota; Viridiplantae; Streptophyta; Magnoliopsida; Malpighiales; Euphorbiaceae.
GGACUACACAAUCACAAAUCCCUAAAAUUUCUACUUUCUAUAUUUCUUCCUAGCAGAAGUUUGAGGACUCCUAAAAUCUCUAGGAGUCAAACCUGCAUCACAUGGCAAGCAGCAGAAGCCAACUAUUGCAGUCCACAUCCAACCAAAAUUCCUGAAUCCGAGGAACGGCAAAGAGGUACGAACUUAGUUUUGAAACUGAAAACAACUCCGAGCUAAUCA